GAUGGUGCUGGCCUGGCAUAAGGCCAUCGGCCUACUGGUGCUGGUGCUGGCGGUGCUGCGGAUCGGCAACCCGGUUCGGGCCCGGCCACCGCCG
This 94-nucleotide transfer RNA is filed under the name Mycobacteroides abscessus. Its description in RNAcentral is "tRNA-???(actg)". The record is from RNAcentral. Lineage: Bacteria; Bacillati; Actinomycetota; Actinomycetes; Mycobacteriales; Mycobacteriaceae.